CCUACGGGGGGCUGCAGUCGAGAAUCUUCGGCAAUGGGCGCAAGCCUGACCGAGCGACGCCGCGUGUGGGAUGAAGGCCUUCGGGUUGUAAACCACUGUUAGAGGGGAUGAAAUGCAGGUGGGUUCUCCCAUCUGUUUGACAUAGCCUCAGAGGCAGGACGGGCUAAGUUCGUGCCAGCAGCCGCGGUAAGACGAACCGUCCAAACGAUAUUCGGAAUCACGUGCGUUGAAGGGGGCGUAAGUGGGGUGGGAAAUACCUCGGCUCAACCGAGGAACUGCGCCCAAAACUGCCGUGCUCGAGGAAGAUAGAGGUGAGCGGAACUUAGGGUGGAGCGGUGAAAUGCGUUGAUAUCCUAAGGAACACCGGUGGCGAAAGCGGCUCACUGGAUCUUUUCUGACGCUGAGGCACGAAAGCUAGGGUAGCGAACGGGAUUAGAUACCCUUGUAGUC
RNAcentral lists this ribosomal RNA (450 nucleotides) under uncultured bacterium. RNAcentral's name for it is "partial 16S ribosomal RNA". It matches the Rfam family "Bacterial small subunit ribosomal RNA", at positions 338 to 795 of the family's 1533-position model. The record is from RNAcentral.